This 465-nucleotide ribosomal RNA is filed under the name uncultured bacterium. RNAcentral describes it as "partial 16S ribosomal RNA". It matches the Rfam family "Bacterial small subunit ribosomal RNA", at positions 28 to 507 of the family's 1533-position model. The record is from RNAcentral.
GACGAACGCUGGCGGCGUGCUUAACACAUGCAAGUCGAACGGAAAGGCCCUGCUUGCAGGGUACUCGAGUGGCGAACGGGUGAGGAACACGUGGGUGAUCUGCCCUGCACUUCGGGAUAAGCCUGGGCAACUGGGUCUAAUACCGGAUAGGAGCCACUUUUAGUGGGAUGGUGGGAAAGUUUUUUCGGUGUAGGAUGAGAUCGCGGCCUAUCAGCUUGUUGGUGGGGUAAUGGCCUACCAAGGCGGCGACGGGUAGCCGGCCUGAGAGGGUGGACGGCCACAUUGGGACUGAGAUACGGCCCAGACUCCUACGGGAGGCAGCAGUGGGGAAUAUUGCACAAUGGGCGCAAGCCUGAUGCAGCGACGCCGCGUGGGGGAUGACGGCCUUCGGGUUGUAAACUCCUUUCGCUAGGGACGAAGCUUUUUGUGACGGUACCUAGAUAAGAAGCACCGGCUAACUACGUG